Salvia splendens (bonfire salvia) is the source of this 1585-nucleotide long non-coding RNA. RefSeq lists it as uncharacterized. The record is from RefSeq and is a predicted model, not a curated record. NCBI's taxonomy places the organism in Eukaryota, Viridiplantae, Streptophyta, Magnoliopsida, Lamiales, Lamiaceae. The transcript has 6 exons.
UUUACCUUAGCACAUAUAUAUUUUUAUCGCUAACCAUUUUUUAUAUUACCUUUAGGACUAGCUUCCUAUAUUGGACUCUCAGCCCAGAUGAAAAAAAGAGUCGCCCAAUGCUACAUUUUUUCUGGAAUAAGCUUCAUAAAAAAGGAGUUUUAAUGCAGAAAAGGAAGGUAGGAAGGUAGUUUUCCCAUACGUAUUCGAGGAUUCUGGUAACUCUACAUCAAAUCCUAGUCUUUGAGGAUUCUGGCUCCAGCAUCAGAAGCUCAGGACUAGAUAUCUUUUUAUUAUAAAUAACUUGUCCACUGCAAAUGUUGAGGCUAAAGCUAAAGAGUUUAUUGAAAAUUUGAAUUUUAUACUAUCCCUGGUUAGCGUUGUAUAUAGUUAUGGAGAGGGAGAGAUUUAGCUUGGCACUACAUUCCUUACCUUAAACAGUUCUCUGGAUGCAAUUUACCUUUGGAGUUACUCUUUCUGUUUGGCAUUUUGAAAUAUUUUGAAAUAAAAUUGAAACAUUUGAACAGAGAUAAUGUGCAAGCCGUUUAUGUAAACUGCCAGGUUUGAUUUUUCUACUUACUUUAUUCAUUUUGGAAAGCCGGUUUUUAUUCUUGGUAUUUGUACUAUGUCUAGGUUCUGUUUUAAACAGAACUUGUAAUAUCUAGUGUGGAAGAACUAUCACUGCUGAAAAUUUAGGAAGCUGGCUUGGGAAGAUUACUAUUGGGAAGUUCUAAGGGAACGAGUGGUAGAUUCAAAAGCUUUGAUUGUAGAGGUUUCUUUUCGUCUGUUUUGUUUUUGAGUUUACUUCAUAAACUUGGAGUUGGGUUGUCUGAAAUCCUCAUGUUGCAAUAAAUAUUAUUAUCUCAUCUUGUUGAUUCAAAUUUUUUUUCUGACACAUGGAAGUAUAUUUUUUGUUGAAUGCUUUUAAGGGACUCAGGAUGCCUGUUAAUUCUUUUACCUCAAAGGUACGAUCCAUGGUUUAUUUUUUAUGUAGUUGCGAGUCCAAGUUUAUUUCAACUCAAAUGUGUUUGUUUUAGAUUUUCAAAGCCUGUUCAAACAGCAUUGCAUACGGGCCUCCUCACCCUUGGGCAGUGGUAAUCUCAAAUUUAAGAUUGAAGUAAUUCUGUAUAAACAUAUCUGGUUAAUCUUUGUUUUGGAUUCCAAAUCAUAAAUUUUGGACAAUUUUCUUUGUUGAUAUCUCUUUGGUUUCAGGUUCUGUUUAAGCAUUUAAGUGUUGACCUCAACGAUGUCACACCCUCUUCUCUUCUAAAGGAUGUAGUUUGACAAUUUGAAGAUCAGUCAUUAAGCAUCAACUUGUUACUCACCUUACGCUGGGCAUUGCUUUAAGAGCUAUUUCAGUUGCUCAUACUGAACCUGACGUUGGCCAUAGUUCCAAUACUAAUCACCGACCCGGUCUUAUUCAAUCUUCUGCUCCACAAAUUGAGAUAGCAGGCCCACCAUUUUCUCUGAUCGGACCCGGCAGCAUAUUGUCUGGAUUAGCAAUUCCCUCUUUGAUCCCACUACAAAAGAGACCACCAAGUUCUCUAGAUGAGAGUGGACUCCUAAUUUCAGAAGCCAACACAAUACACCUACCCUU